UGUGCAUGACAAUGGUGCCAGCUUUGGGCCC
This 31-nucleotide non-coding RNA is filed under the name Mus musculus (house mouse). The record is from RNAcentral. Lineage: Eukaryota; Metazoa; Chordata; Mammalia; Rodentia; Muridae.